RNAcentral lists this ribosomal RNA (601 nucleotides) under uncultured bacterium. RNAcentral's name for it is "bacterial SSU rRNA". It matches the Rfam family "Bacterial small subunit ribosomal RNA", at positions 331 to 933 of the family's 1533-position model. The record is from RNAcentral.
CCAGACUCCUACGGGAGGCAGCAGUGAGGAAUAUUGGUCAAUGGGCGGAAGCCUGAACCAGCCAAGUAGCGUGCAGGAAGACGGCCCUAUGGGUUGUAAACUGCUUUUAUACGAGAAUAAUUUGAUGCACGUGUGCGUUAUUGCAUGUAUCGUAUGAAUAAGGACCGGCUAAUUCCGUGCCAGCAGCCGCGGUAAUACGGAAGGUCCAGGCGUUAUCCGGAUUUAUUGGGUUUAAAGGGAGUGUAGGCGGUUUGUUAAGCGUGUUGUGAAAUUUAGAUGCUCAACAUUUAACUUGCAGCGCGAACUGUCAGACUUGAGUACACGCAACGUAUGCGGAAUUCAUGGUGUAGCGGUGAAAUGCUUAGAUAUCAUGAAGAACUCCGAUUGCGAAGGCAGCAUACGGGAGUGUAACUGACGCUUAAGCUCGAAGGUGCGGGUAUCGAACAGGAUUAGAUACCCUGGUAGUCCGCACAGUAAACGAUGGAUGCCCGCUGUUAGCGCCUGGCGUUAGCGGCUAAGCGAAAGCAUUAAGCAUCCCACCUGGGGAGUACGCCGGCAACGGUGAAACUCAAAGGAAUUGACGGGGGCCCGCACAAGAAGG